CUAGCAGCCGCCAAAAAAAACACCCAACCCUCGAUCCAGAUCCCUUCCACCUCCUCUCUUCUCCCGAUUCACCCCUCGUCUCCCUCCCAUCCCACGCUGCCGCCGCCGCCUCCGCCGCUCACCACCCCGGCGACCUCCCCACGGGCGAUCCCCAGCCUCUCCCUCUCCUUCUCCCCUGCAUCCGUCGCCCGCACCUUCCCUCCCAGUCCCAGAUCAACCCGCGGGUGAGCCGGCGGCCAGGACACACGCGAAGCGACGGAGGUCGCCUGUGUCUCCCCAGUCGCCCUGCCACUGCUUCCUUGCUUUUCUCUGCGGUAGGAGAAGAAAACCUUGUCGGGGUGCCCAAGCCAUGGAGCACCAUCGUCAAGUGCAGGAGAAGAAAACCCUAGACCGACCCGAGGAUUCGUCCGACAACCACCUGAGGAGGAAGCAAGCCAUGGACGGACCUCCCUUUCCUUGAAUGCUGCGCCCUCCCACCCAUCUUCCUGCAGCUGCAGGUAACCCCGGCCCCUCCCUCCCUGCGUGCACAUGCUAGUCUGGUUUUUUGUUUUCGUCACUCCUUUGUUAUAUGGAAGAAGACUUCAUGGUUAGCAUUAUUUAUUAUAACACAUUCAUAUAAGAUUUUCUUGCCACUGUAAGUAGGAAGUUAAUUUUUUUGGUCUGUUUUUUUUCUGCGGGGAUUUUGGUCUGUUUUUCUAAUAGUAUAUAUGAUCUUUCAGUCACAGUUCCAGUAUUUUAGAACUAAAUCUCUCCCCCCUAAUUAAAAUGCAGAAACGUGUUUUCUUUCAUGAUGUUUCAGUCACUGUCUUAGAAACACUAGAAAAUAUCUGUCGACAAACUUCUUCAUGGAACUAAUAUUUUUAUGCUAAUGACAAAUUGGAUUUAUAAUCUUUAACCUCGAAUCUUUAUAUGAUUUUAGUUACUACCAUAUCUGCUCUUGCAGGUCUACUAGAGUAUCCACUUCUGAAGAUAUUGAAUUGAUUCAUCACUCCAUGUUUUUCUGGGUCGUUUAGUUAUCACCCUGUUGUGCCACAAAACCAUGGCAUUCUAGAAAAUACUUUGUGAAGCCACAUGAGCUAGGGGUUGCACCGCAGGAGCAUAGCGUGUACAAGUACUAAACAUUGAAGAUUGCAUUGCAGCUCAUCAGUAUGCCUUCCUUGCAAUCUUUGAAGCCAAUUAAAUUCGGAAGUGUUAUUUUUUCUGUACAAGUUUGUAUGUGUCAAGUACUUGCUAAUUGAUGUUUUGAGGGGUGCUCAUAUACUUACUCGGCAACAUGGAAAGUUUUCACAUUUGUUCUAGCUGUCUCUAUGGGUUAGCGACUUAGCAUACAUGUUGUAAUAAGGUUUCACAUUUGCUUCUCUGACAAAUAAGGUCUGUUUUUAUUCAUAGGUAGAAGAUAGCGACAGAGUGCUGCAGGAUAAUGAGAUGUUGAAGCGGUAGACUAAAUCCAUGACACCGAAGUGCAAUUGUGGCAGAUUAUCUCUAUCUUUUCUUUUCAUUUUUCUUAUUAUUGAGUGAGAACAGAAUGAGGAACUGUGUGAUAGUACAUACAACAACUGUAGUAAAAAGAAACUUAUGUUUGCAAUUGUUAAUGACAUAGAUACUUGCAUGUUCUUUGAA
This is a non-coding RNA of Aegilops tauschii subsp. strangulata, 1620 nucleotides long. Lineage: Eukaryota; Viridiplantae; Streptophyta; Magnoliopsida; Poales; Poaceae. The record is from RefSeq and is a predicted model, not a curated record.